Molecule: non-coding RNA, 69 nt
Filed under: unclassified sequences
Description: L31-Gammaproteobacteria ribosomal protein leader
Rfam family: L31-Gammaproteobacteria ribosomal protein leader
Source: RNAcentral
CGUGCGGUGCCUGGCACCUGGAGCGAUUUAAGCUCCCGUGAUCAGGUAGCGGCACGACCCGACAGAGGU